Molecule: long non-coding RNA, 310 nt
Filed under: Solanum tuberosum (potato)
Lineage: Eukaryota; Viridiplantae; Streptophyta; Magnoliopsida; Solanales; Solanaceae
Description: long non-coding RNA (STUB_LNC008069)
Source: RNAcentral
GGGUACUGAAGUUUGAUUGGUUCAUGCUUCAUACAAACCUUCAAAAUAAAUUGCAAAUUUAAUACAUUACAAGACUUGGAUUUACACACCCCAAAACAGUAAAACAUGUAGUCAUACUUAUUUUACAAUCCAUGGUGACAUGAUCAAAUUAACCUUCAAAAUUUCAUAUAAAUAUACAACAUAUAGAUCAUGUACAAGUCCCAAGAUUUAUGCAAACUAUAGAUGCCUAUAUGCAAAUAUGAUCUUCCAUAAAUCUCUCAAAAACUCCAUCUCCAAUGGCCAGCUUCAAGUAUCCCCUCGAACGUUCCCU